Molecule: ribosomal RNA, 494 nt
Filed under: uncultured bacterium
Lineage: Bacteria
Description: partial 16S ribosomal RNA
Rfam family: Bacterial small subunit ribosomal RNA
Source: RNAcentral
GACGAACGCUGGCGGCGUGCUUAACACAUGCAAGUCGAACGGUGAAGCGCCUUCCUUUUUGGUGGGUGUGGAUGAGUGGCGAACGGGUGAGUAACACGUGAGUAACCUGCCCCCUUCUUCUGGAUAACCGCAUGAAAGUGUGGCUAAUACAGGAUAUUCUGGGUCUGUCGCAUGAUGGGUCUGGGAAAGAUAUUGUUUCGGUGGGGGAUGGGCUCGCGGCCUAUCAGCUUGUUGGUGGGGUGAUGGCCUACCAAGGCGGUGACGGGUAGCCGGCCUGAGAGGGUGGACGGCCACACUGGGACGGAGACACGGCCCAGACUACUACGGGCGGCAGCAGUGGGGAAUAGUGCACAAUGGGCGCAAGCCUGAUGCAGCGACGCCGCGUGAGGGAGGGGGGCCUUCGGGUUGUGAACCUCUUUCGCCAGUGAAGCAGGCCUGCCUCGUUUGUGGGUGGGUUGACGGUAGCUGGAGAAGAAGCGCCGGCUAACUACGUG